AUGUUUAGCUUCUCUUUUAGUGGAACAAGUGGUAACCUACUUGCUGCUGGUUCUGGUUCCAAGGUUCUGUUGUGGGACUGGAGAAGUUCAAAACAGGUAGCCUGCUUAGAGGAAUCCCACAUGGACUAUGUAACUCAGGUUCGAUUUGCACCAAAUCACGAGAGUAAACUCAUUUAUGUGGCAAUUGAUGGUUUAAUAUGCAUCUUCGACAUUGAUGGUGAUAUCAAUGAGGACGAUCAUUUGCUAUCUGUUAUGAAUGCGGAGACUUCUGUUUCCAAGGUGGGUUUCUAUGGAAACACAUAUCAGAAGCUUUGGUGUUUGACUCAUAUUGAAACACUAAGCACUUGGGACUGA
This 354-nucleotide ribosomal RNA is filed under the name Triticum aestivum (bread wheat). Its description in RNAcentral is "partial small subunit ribosomal RNA". Lineage: Eukaryota; Viridiplantae; Streptophyta; Magnoliopsida; Poales; Poaceae. The record is from RNAcentral.